Molecule: ribosomal RNA, 253 nt
Filed under: uncultured bacterium
Lineage: Bacteria
Description: partial 16S ribosomal RNA
Rfam family: Bacterial small subunit ribosomal RNA
Source: RNAcentral
UACGUAGGUGGCAAGCGUUGUUCGGAAUUAUUGGGCGUAAAGAGCUCGUAGGCGGUUUGUCGCGUCUGCUGUGAAAUCCCGAGGCUCAACCUCGGGUCUGCAGUGGGUACGGGCAGACUGGAGUGCGGUAGGGGAGAAUGGAAUUCCUGGUGUAGCGGUGGAAUGCGCAGAUAUCAGGAGGAACACCGAUGGCGAAGGCAGUUCUCUGGGCCGUAACUGACGCUGAGGAGCGAAAGCGUGGGGAGCGAACAGG